GAUUCAAUCCAAUACUGUAUAGACACACAUAGGUUGGGAUUCAAUCCAAUACUGUAUAGACACACAUAGGUUGGGAUUCAAUCCAAUACUGUAUAGACACACAUAGGUUGGGAUUCAAUCCAAUACUGUAUAGACACACAUAGGUUGGGAUUCAAUCCAAUACUGUAUAGACACACAUAGGCUGGGAUUCAAUCCAAUACUGUAUAGACACACACAGACUGGUAUUCAAUCCAAUACUGAAUAGACACACAGGUUGGGAUACAAUCCAAUACUGUACAGACAGACACAUAGGCUGGGAUUCAAUCCAAUACUGUAUAGACACACACAGACUGGGAUUCCAUCCAACACUGUACAGACAGACACAUAGGCUGGGAUUCAAUCCAAUACUGUAUAGACAGACAGACAGGCUGGGAUUCAAUCCAAUACUGUAUAGACAGACACACAGACUGGGAUUCAAUCCAAUACUGUAUAGACAGACACAUUGGCUGGGAUUCAAUCCAAUACUGUACAGACAGACACAUUGGCUGGGAUUCAAUCCAAUACUGUACAGACAGACACACAGGCUGGGAUUCAAUCCAAUACUGUAUAGACAGACACACAGGCUGGGAUUCAAUCCAAUACUGUAUAGACACACACAGGCUGGGAUUCGUAAGGUCGCUAGUUCAACUCCAGGAGCAGACAAGGUGAAGCAUUUGUCUGUGUGCCCUUGAGCAAGGCACUCAACCUCAAUUGCUCCAGGGAUGUCAUUGAUCAUGUCUGACCCUGUCUAAAGACCCCAGCUCUCUGUGGGUGUUGAUAAUGUCUGACCCUGUCUAAAGACCCCAGCUCUCUGUGGGUGUUGAUAAUGUCUGACCCUGUCUAAAGACCCCAGCUCUCUGUGGGUGUUGAUAAUGUCUGACCCUGUCUAAAGACCCCAGCUCUCUGUGGGUGUUGAUAAUGUCUGACCCUGUCUAAAGACUCCAGCUCUCUGUGGGUGUUGAUAAUGUCUGACCCUGUCUAAAGACCCCAGCUCUCUGUGGGUGUUGAUAAUGUCUGACCCUGUCUAAAGACCCCAGCUCUCUGUGGGUGUUGAUAAUGUCUGACCCUGUCUAAAGACCCCAGCUCUCUGUGGGUGUUGAUAAUGUC
Molecule: long non-coding RNA, 1125 nt
Organism: Oncorhynchus tshawytscha (Chinook salmon)
Lineage: Eukaryota; Metazoa; Chordata; Actinopteri; Salmoniformes; Salmonidae
Source: Ensembl